UGGGGAAUAUUGCACAAUGGGCGAAAGCCUGAUGCAGCAACGCCGCGUGAGUGAUGAAGGUCUUCGGAUUGUAAAGCUCUGUCUUUUGGGACGAUAAUGACGGUACCAAAGGAGGAAGCCACGGCUAACUACGUGCCAGCAGCCGCGGUAAUACGUAGGUGGCGAGCGUUGUCCGGAUUUACUGGGCGUAAAGGGUGCGUAGGCGGAUGUUUAAGUGAGAUGUGAAAUACCCGGGCUUAACUUGGGUGCUGCAUUUCAAACUGGAUAUCUAGAGUGCAGGAGAGGAGAAUGGAAUUCCUAGUGUAGCGGUGAAAUGCGUAGAGAUUAGGAAGAGCACCAGUGGCGAAGGCGAUUCUCUGGACUGUAACUGACGCUGAGGCACGAAAGGCGUGGGUAGCAAACAGGA
Molecule: ribosomal RNA, 406 nt
Filed under: uncultured bacterium
Lineage: Bacteria
Description: partial 16S ribosomal RNA
Rfam family: Bacterial small subunit ribosomal RNA
Source: RNAcentral